ACAGAGGGUGCAAACGUUGUUCGGAAUUACUGGGCGUAAAGCGUGUGUAGGCGGCCGCGUAAGUCGGAUGUGAAAGCCCUGGGCUCAACCCAGGAAGUGCACUCGAUACUGCGUGGCUCGAGUACUGGAGAGGUUGGUGGAAUUCUCGGUGUAGAGGUGAAAUUCGUAGAUAUCUGGAGGAACACCGGUGGCGAAGGCGGCAUCCUGGACCGGCACUGACGCUGAGGCGCGAAAGCCAGGGGAGCAAACGGGA
This 253-nucleotide ribosomal RNA is filed under the name uncultured prokaryote. RNAcentral's name for it is "partial 16S ribosomal RNA". It matches the Rfam family "Bacterial small subunit ribosomal RNA", at positions 525 to 777 of the family's 1533-position model. The record is from RNAcentral.